RNAcentral lists this long non-coding RNA (1634 nucleotides) under Equus caballus (horse). RNAcentral describes it as "lncRNA (ENSECAG00000054106.1)". The record is from RNAcentral. Lineage: Eukaryota; Metazoa; Chordata; Mammalia; Perissodactyla; Equidae.
CUAGGAAUAUUCAUUUAUUGAACAAGACAAUGUUAAGAAAACACUGUUAGAACCUAUUAUUCAGUGUCAACUUGACUGAAACAUUUUUGGAAAAUAGACAGUACUUUUAAAAAUCAUUUAUAUUCUUUCAUUAUUGAAUAUUACACAAGAAAAUGUGGUCAUUAAGAAAUUUUAAGAGAACUGAGUACUUUUGUUAAUUCCUACAAGCAUUUUUUCCCAAAAAAAUAUUUUGUGGGGACCGGCCCUGCGGCCGAGUGGUUGAGUUCGCACACUCCGCUUCACUGGCCCAGGGUUUUGCUGGUUCAGAUCCUGGGCGUGGACAUGGCACUGCUCAUCAAGCCAUGCUGAGGCAGCAUCCCACAUAACACAACUAGAAGGACCUACAACUAGAAUAUGCAACUACGUACUCUGGGGCUUUGGGGAGGAGCAGAAGAAAAAGAAAAGAUUGGCAACAGAUGUUAGCUCAGGUGCCAAUCUUUAAAAAAAAACAUUUUUGUGGAAUAAAGUAUCCCCUUCUCAGACUCCCUUAGUAUAAAAAUUUAGGUAGAUUCAAUUGUUUUUUUAAAACCUGUAUUUUUAGUGAGAAUACAUAUAUACAUAAAUAAUUCUUCACCCACAUAUACAAAGAAACAUUCACUUGCUCAGGUCUAUUGGUAAUAAGCAGAAAAAGUUAUGAUGUAACGACAUCUUUAUUUUCUUUAUAACAUUUGGCACACUGCUAGGCAUGAGAAUCUCACAUUGAUAAAGUUAUAGAUUGAGUUGUGCCUCCAACAAAAAAUAACGUCAAAAAGAUAUGUAGAAGUCCUAUCUCUGGGUACCUUACAAUUGACCUUAUUUGCAAUAGAGUUAUUUCAGAUAGAAUUAAUUAAGAUUGGGUCAUACUGGAGCAGGGUGGGUCCCUAAUCCAAUGUGAGUGGCAUCCUUGUAAGAUGGCCACAUGAAGACAAACACAGGGAGAAUGCCAUGUGACAAAGACAGACUGGAUUUAUGCACCUAAAAGCCAAGGAAUGUCAGCGACUGCCAACAAACCAUCAGAAGCCAGGAGGAGUCAAGGAAGCAUUCAGAGGGCGCAUGGCCCUACGGACACCUUGAUUUUGGAUUUCCGGCCUCCCGAACUGUGAGACAGUAACUUUGUUGUUUAGGCCACACAGUUCAUGGCACUUUGUUUGGCAGCCAUAAGAAACUAAAAUAGGUGAUAAUACAGCCAGGGUGGAGGCCCUCUAUUUUCAAUGAACCUCUUGCACCAUCCUGUCUUGCCUCUAUUCAUAAAGUUCUUGAGAAGCCACCUGAGAAACAUUUACCAUUCCAAAUUCUUUUAUCUCUUCCAGUAACAAACAUGUAAUCCAUGUCUCUUGCCAUGUAACUUUGCAAGUGCUUCCCAUUAGAGUAGAUGCAAAUGCUCCCUCACCCUACUGACAGGCAUGGCCAUGAAGGUGCUUCAACCUAUGAAAUGAGGGUAGAAGGGACAGUGUGCCAGUUUCAAGUUGAGGCCUUCAGGAAGCCUGGCAAGUUUCCUACAGUCUUCUUGGAGCUUCUGCCAUCCACCAUGAGACAAAAUGUCUCAGGUAGCGACUGAGCCUAGAAUAAAAAUACACAUGAAACAUACCUGAAUCCAAAUUAUUGUCUAUACCAAG